RNAcentral lists this long non-coding RNA (488 nucleotides) under Rhagoletis pomonella (apple maggot). RNAcentral describes it as "uncharacterized LOC118757441, transcript variant X4". The record is from RNAcentral. Lineage: Eukaryota; Metazoa; Arthropoda; Insecta; Diptera; Tephritidae.
CAAUCAUUCAAGUUCGAGUCACAGGGCGAAGUGGACGUGUCGACGGAUGUGGAAUUUUUCAAACGUUCAAACGCUUUGACAGCAGCAGCAACAACAACUAGUGAGACUGUUGAAGCAGCGUUGACGCUACAGAAGUAAAUAAAAUAAAGAAACAACAACAAUUCAUCCAAAACGUGAAAUAUAGCUGUAAUUAGUGCAUAGUCGCAUUAGUUGCACGCUUAAGUGAAUUGUAGCUUCCAUUGUACAUACAUAUAUGCAUAUAAAUACAUACAUACUUACAUACACAUACAAAUUAACGUACGUGUGAAGCAUUUAUGUGAGUGUGAAUAUAACAUAAUAUCAAGAUAAUAAGGAUAAGGAGAAUAAACACCACGCAUACAUACAUAUGCACAUAAAUACCAUACAUAUAAACUGGUGUAUCUAAAAAUAGCUUAAACGUAAAUGAAUAACUUAAUUGGAGCAGUAAAUGCAUGGAUGUCGGUUGCAGG